UACACAAAGGGGGCUAGCGUUGUUCGGAAUUACUGGGCGUAAAGGGCGCGUAGGCGGUCCCUCAAGUCAGGCGUGAAAGCCCCGGGCUCAACCUGGGAACCGCGCUUGAGACUGAUGGGCUAGAGUCGGGAGAGGAUGGGUGGAAUUCCCAGUGUAGAGGUGAAAUUCGUAGAUAUUGGGAAGAACACCGAUGGCGAAGGCAGCCAUCUGGACCGACACUGACGCUGAGGCGCGAAAGCGUGGGGAGCAAACAGGAUUAGAUACCCGCGUAGUCC
This 275-nucleotide ribosomal RNA is filed under the name uncultured bacterium. RNAcentral describes it as "partial 16S ribosomal RNA". It matches the Rfam family "Bacterial small subunit ribosomal RNA", at positions 522 to 796 of the family's 1533-position model. The record is from RNAcentral.